RNAcentral lists this ribosomal RNA (417 nucleotides) under Triticum aestivum (bread wheat). RNAcentral describes it as "partial small subunit ribosomal RNA". The record is from RNAcentral. Lineage: Eukaryota; Viridiplantae; Streptophyta; Magnoliopsida; Poales; Poaceae.
AUGAAAGAUGAAGUUGCGAUGAACUUGCUUCGAUUGGAAUCACGCUUGGACAUUGCUGUCGACUAUCUGGCUCAGCUGAAGGCUGCGAUGACCCGAGUGGACGCCAAACUCUGGCCUCAGGCAGAACUUUCUCAAAGUCUCGAGUCGUUGAUGACUCGAAUCAACCAGAUCCCUGACCGAGUGCAAGAGUGGAAGAAGUCCUCUGCCCAUUGUGGCGCUGACGUUGCCUUGUCAUUGGUUCGCGUGCACUGCAAGGAGGCUAAGGAAGAGAAGCUGGUGGCCCUCAAGGUAGCGAAUACUAAGAAGCACUCCUUCCAGGACUUCAUGGACACCUUCCUUGAGGCUGCUACCCACAUUGCCGAGAGCAUCGAUCUUGACAGCUUCUGCGAUCCGUCCAGCCCUUCUCCCGUCGAGUGA